UGUAAUGUACUCUUUUCUCCCGAAUCAUGUACUACAAUUAAAUUGGGAGGAUGAAAAAUACAUAGAGAGUUCAUAUUGCCUACGUUGCCCAUAUGGUCACCUCUUGCGGCCCGCCCAAUGGAACUCUCCAUCUUCUUGGUGCCACAGUAAUGAGCUAUGAUACAAUAACUAUGCUUCAAGAAUGAUUCUCACCCUUUGGAGCUAGAUGUGAGCUCUCGGAAUAUAUAUAUAUAUAUUUCCUACUCCACAUUGAUCUAUACAUAUUGAUGAUCAGAAGAGUAGCACCCAAAACAUGAACGGUUCUGAUCAUUAGACCAGAUCAGCAUGUGGGCCUCAUCAGGUGACACAUGCUGGUGAUCCUGAGUGGUAGGACAUAGGCGAAAUGAACUCAUAUAUAAAUAUGUAGGACUAUCACUGACUUAGGCUGAACGACUUGUGUCCCACCAUUGGGUCAUCCACCAAAAUUUCCCAGAUGGAAAAAUCCUAACCCUCUAAGAUGUUGUAACAAAAUAAUAAUAAUAAAUGGUUAUGGAAGAAAACACAACAAUGGCUCACAUUCGAGUGAAAAGAAAAAAAGAAGAAGAAAAGAAGAAAGAAAAACCAAAAAAAAAAAAUCACAGCUAUUUGUAUGGUUAGAGAUCAAGCACACAAACAGCCCUUAGCUGGGACCUAGGAAUGGGCUGAGUAGCCUUCUCCAACUAAUAGCCCAGCAAUGUUUUCCCCUUUUAAGCUAGUUUAUGAGGCUCAUGGACUGGAUUUGGGUCUAUUCUUCUAGCAUGAAUCAGUGCACGAGCCCAUUCUUGAAGGCCCAUCUAGCUCUUAAACAUAAGUCUGGGAUGAAUUGGCCCAUACCCAGACUGUUGAACCCCUAUGGAUCAUAGGAGCCUACACAGAGAGAUUUAAUAUUGUGGCAGUGUGAUGGAUGAUACGUAGGUGCAAAGAAAUUAGUUAUACACCAUCCAAUCUGUUCAUCAGGUGAGGCAUGACCCAAAACUCAGGUGGGCCACAUUAAAAGAGUUUUUUAAACUGGUGUUUUUGUACGAAUUCUUCCUUGUUUUCAUUGAUAGGUAGCCAUAAAUAUGUAUAGGAGGUAUAGAUCUAAAAAUAGAUUUACUAUCAAUUACAAUCAUAAUCACAGACUAAACAAAUCCUAAUUACAUUCAGUCAAAUCUACAUGAUAUGAUACACUCAAUCAAAUAAAUCAAAUCUAAUAUCUAUCUAUUAUGCACCCAACCCGCUUCUGCGGACAAGCUAAUCCUUGAUGAGCUUGACUUGAAGAGAACAACAAUGUGUAGAAGAUAGGCAUUUGGUGAAAACAUUAGCCAAUUGAUUCAAAUUGAAUAUAUAAAGAGCAAAAAGCAAUCCUUGGGCAACCCACUCACGAACAAAAUGAUAAUCCAUCUCUAUGUGAUGAAUUCUAGCAUGAAAGACAGGAUUGACCACCAUUGAAUUGCAAUAACAUUGUCACACAGCAAGACUGGAACAGAAGAUAGAAACACAAAAUGAUCGUGUACUACAUAUUGAACCCAGGAAAUUUCUAUGAUGGAAACAGCUACAGAGUGGUGUUCAGCUACUAUGGUAGACCAGGAAACAUUAGGUUGCUUCUUAGGACACAAUGUAAUAAGAUUAGGGCCAAGAAAUAGAUAGCCACUAGAUGUGGAUCUACCAUCGCCAAUGCAGCCAGCUCAAUCAACAUUUGAAUAGCCAUGAAGAGUUAAAUUGGAGGAUUUGGUGAAGGGUAGUAACUGAGGGUGCGCUUUACGUAGAAACAUAUCCAUUUAACUCCUGCUAAAUUAGUGGAUGGAGCAUCCAUAAAUUGACAUGCUUGAUUAACAGCAUACGCAAUGCUAAGCUGUGUCAUUGUCAAAUACUGGAGAGUGCCCACCAAGCUAUGAGCAAAAAUCUUAGAGUUAGCAAUGGUAGGAGUAGAAACUGGUUUAGCAUCAACCAUAUUUGCUCAUUUAAGAAGAUCAAGGGCAUACUUACUCUGAGUAAGAGUUACAGUGGAAGAGGACUGGGAGAUUUCAAUUCCCAGAAAGUAAUGUGCGGACCCUAAGUUCUUCAUAUCAAAUUGAUUGUUCUAAGUAUGGAUGAGUUCAUCCAUAGCUAUAAUAUAAGAUCUUGUGAGAAUGAUGUUAUCAACAUAAAGAGGAAUGACUAGCAUUCCUUGUGAGUCAUUGUAAAAAAAAUAAAAUUGAGUUGUUGGUUUUGCUAAAAAAGAACCCUAAUUCCAGUAAGAAAGUGCUGAAUGAAGAAAACCAAGCUCAAUACCUAUUCAAGAGUAUAAAUAGCUUUACACAAAUGACAAACAUGAGUGGGUCGAGGGGGAUCCACAUAGCCUGGAGAUUGUCGCAUGUAAAUUUCCUUCUGAAGAACACCAUGAAUUAAGGCAUUCUUAGCAUCCAAUUGCUGAAUAUUCCAAUCACAAGAAGUGGUGAUAGCAAGAACAAUCUAAUUCAGUAGUAGGCUUUACUAUGUGACUGAAAGUUUCAUCCAAAUCAAUACCAUAUUCUUAAUUAUAUAUUUUUGCGACAAGCCAAUCUUUGUAAUGCUUAAUGGUUCCAUCAGAUUUCUGUUUAAGUUUGAAAAGCCAUCUGCAUGCUACAACAUUUUGAGAAGAAUGAGAAGGAACAAGGGUCCAUUUUUUUUUCCUUUAAGGAGCAUAGAAUUCUCCAUCCAUGAAAGACCACCACCAAUUGGGAUCCUUGCAGGCCAUGGUAUAGGACAUAGGUUCCAAAGGAUCCAAGGGGGAAACAAGACCCAUGGGAUCAAGAUAUUUGGAUACAUGUGCGAUACACUCCAUGCUUGCUCAUCUUUUCGUCUAUUGGUGGAAUAGGGGGUGCUAUUGACACAAGAAAAGGUAUAUCGACUUGGAAUUGCCAUUAGGCGAUGAAGUUCAGAAUAUAUGGUCAGCUAGACACCAUAGAAUCGCUACAAGUUAGGGAAUCGAAGAUUCCCCAACUUGAAUGACUCUGGCAGUUUGGUGUGCUUUUGAGAUUUUGAGUAAGGGCCUCGGUGAUAGAGAAGGGGUCAAUCACCCUUCUCCGCCCGCACUGACAUGCAGUCUUUACUUUGCAGAAUUUAGGAAAUUUGGAGGAAUAUUUAGUUUCAAAAAGACAAAAUUAAAACAGCUCGACUAUAAUAUUGACCAUUGAGAUGGAGAGCUCGUUAUUAAUCAUGACCAAGGAGACAAUUAUUCAAAAACUAAGAAAGAAGAUAUAGCAAGGGGGUAUAUGAGAAAUGAAAUGACGUAGCAGGGUGACCUUGCACAUGUGGAAAUAUGAGAGAGAAGAAAGAGACCCGAUACUCAUCAAGGAAGAAAUGGUUGCAUAUCUUAGAUCCUAACUCCGUUCCGUAAGGUUUAGACUGCUGAAAGUAAUUAAAUCAAUGUAAUGCUGUGUUUGGGUGGCUUGGAUUGCUAGUUGGAUGGGUUGGAUUGCACGUAGCCCAAGGAUGGGUAACUUGAAUUGCUGGGAGGAAGGUUGGAUGUGUUGGACCACUUCUAUCCCCCUCUUUAUCACCCCUUUAAGUGGGGGAGGAAGUCCCAUUUUAUAGAGCUACCAGUGGCAAUCAGAUUACUGCCAUUGCUAUGUUGGCUCAAAUGUUGAGGCAUACAUUCCUGGGUUACCAUGCAGGUCAGAUGGGAUUAACUAGGGGUUUUAGGGGCACAUGUUUCCUAAGGUGUCAAGUUCGGUCAAUUGUGAAGUUUUGGAUUCCAGGUUCAAGGAUUUUCAGGAAUUGGGGCUUAAGGAUUCGAAGCUUUAGGAUUUUGGUUGUUGGGCUUCCUAGGGUUUAGGCUUUUAGGAUUCUGAGAUUGACUUCGAGGGUUUUCAGGUUAAGGUUUUGGUUUGCAGUCCAGAUCUUGUGCAGCCAGUCACCCUGUAAUGGGUGGGGUGUCUACAACAUGAUAGGCUUUUAUUUUUCAGGUCCCAUCUCGAGAAUGAGUGACCAUUGGAUGUAUUUGACCCUAACAAUUGUGUGAACUACCAGACUGUGGAAGAUCAACAUGUAAGAAUGGUGCAAUUGAGGGAGCUUAAACAGUAGGAGCAGAAUCUGUCCUAAGUCUACAUACAGUGAGAGGAGGCUCAAAAUUACUACUAGUUGAAGGAGCUGGAGAGGAUUUCUCACACCAUGGAAGAAUAAUCCACUUGUUGUUGGAAUCACUCUGAGUGGAAUCAUGUUUUAAGGAGUCUACAGAAGAAAAAAGUGUCCCAUCAAAGAUGACAUGAAGAGAAAUAUAGAUGUGCCUAGAGUCCAGUCAAGAAAUCAGUAGCCUUUGUGUUGUUGACUGUAUCCAUAAAAAAAUGCAUGGUAUUGUCCAAGGAGUUAACUUGAUUUUUAUGGAAGAAGGUAAGGAAAGCUUCUAAAAGUAUAGAAUAUUUGGGUUUUUUUUUAAUAGUUUCUCAUACAAAGGCUGCUUUCAGAGGACAUUUGAUGGCAUGUUUAUUAGAAACCUUCUGAUUUAAAAGGCUUCAACCCAAAAGGUUCUGCACAUAUGAGCUUGAUCUAAUAAGGCAAUGCCUGAUACACCAUGUCAGUGUUUUUGUUCAGCAGUGCCAUUUUCCUGAGAAAUGUGAGGACAUGAAAGAUGAUGUAGGAUGCCUUCUUGCUUCAGAAAGUUGGUUAAAGGAGUAGAAAAUUCACCACCUCCAUCACUUCUAAAAUUUUUAAUUUUUUCUUAAAUAAAUAUUCGAUCAACUUCUUAAAUGAAAUAAAGCAAUGAAGAGCAUGAGUUUUGCAAACUAGCAGAAAUAACCAAGUAAAACAUGAGUAAUCAUCCACAAGAAACAAAUAAUAUCUGUAACCUCCAGUUGGCAAGAAAGGAGUUGGUCCCCAUAGAUCUGCAUGAAUCAAAUGUAGAGGUACAUCAACAAUAGAUUCAGAUGAAGAAAAGAGCAGUCAGCUACUCUUGCCAACCAAGUAACUAGAAUAAAUAGUUGGUGCUUUCUUAUUCCCAGAAACAAGCAAUUCCUUUGUGUUAUUUAAAGGUUUAAUUUCUUAUUAUUUGGAUUUCCAAGGUGCAUGUAUCAUAUCCGACGAGGCUUUCUCACCAUAAAAGUUGCAAGUCCGAGUCCAAAUGUUUCCAUAACUUCGAGAAAUUGGAUAGUCCUCCUCUGCUAGGUCCUUGGAGCAAUACCUUCCAUGUCUGUGGAUCCUUGAUACAAAAAUCAGAAGAGGUGAAUAUAAAGCAGCAAUCAUGGUCAUCAGUGAACUGACCCACAGAAUAUAAAUUCUUUUAAUAGAAGGGACAUGUAACAAUCCUCAACUGAAAAAUCAUAGGAGGGAGUCGUUAGUUAGACUAUACCAACAUUUCCAAUAGGCAAUCCAGUCCUGUUUCCAACCAUGAUUUUCUCAUCUCCUGUGUAUUCUAGGUGAUUAAAGAGACUAGCAUCAUCAGGGGUUAAAUAAUUUGUGGCUCAGAUAUUUGGAUACCAAUUAUCAUCGGAAGGAGAUGAAACAUUCAUAGUAGAGAAUGAUUAUAGCAGAUAAUCUGACUAGUAAUUUUGAUUUUAUCUUUGGAAACAGUCGAGAGCAGUGUGAUUCACCUUUCCACAAAUUUCACAAGUGUUAGAAUAACGUAGAUGGUUAGUAGAGGAAUUUCAUAUACAACCACCACCAUAUUCGCCAUGGCCACCUCUACCACAACCUUUAUAAUUUACAUGGCUAUGAUUGCAUGGUCCAUGGAGUAGUAGACCACGCUGAUGUGAAUUAAAUGAGCCAUGUCCAUGACCAUGACCUCUAGAGGUGAGAAGAGUGGUAUGGUUGAUAUUUUUGUGAAGAAAUUGUUCAAUUCUUGCUUCUUUGCUCAACAGCAUAUUGACAAGAGAGGAAAAGUUGGAGCAUCUGACCUAGUGAUGAUAGCAGUUACAAAUGCCUCAUAAGAGUGUGUAGUAAGCAAGAUCAAUACUGAGAAUGGAUGUUGAAUUGCAGCUAAGGAGUUGGAAAUCUCUUUGAUUCACCCAGAAGAUGGCUAGCUCUGAUAUCAAGAAGAGUUUUGUAAACUAGUGUUUAUGUACCUAUUCUUUCUUGUGUUUCAUUGAUAAGUGGCCAUGAGUAUAUACAAGAGAUAUGGAUCUAAAAAUAGAUUUAUGAUCAAUUACAAUCCUAAUUACAGCCUAAUCAAAUCCUAAUUACAUUCAAUCAGCCUAGUCAAAUCCUAUUUACACUCAAUCAAAUUUACACAAUAUGAUACACUCAAUUAAAUCUACUUAAUCAAAUCUAAUCUCUAUUAGCAUCA
This is a long non-coding RNA of Magnolia sinica, 6238 nucleotides long. RefSeq lists it as uncharacterized. The record is from RefSeq and is a predicted model, not a curated record. The transcript has 3 exons. Lineage: Eukaryota; Viridiplantae; Streptophyta; Magnoliopsida; Magnoliales; Magnoliaceae.